RNAcentral lists this ribosomal RNA (989 nucleotides) under uncultured bacterium. Its description in RNAcentral is "bacterial SSU rRNA". It matches the Rfam family "Bacterial small subunit ribosomal RNA", at positions 8 to 1043 of the family's 1533-position model. The record is from RNAcentral.
AGGGUUUGAUCCUGGCUCAGGAUGAACGCUGGCGGCGUGCUUAACACAUGCAAGUCGAACGAACCUUCGGGUUAGUGGCGGACGGGUGAGUAACGCGUGAGAAUCUGCCCUCAGGAGGGGGAUAACGGUUGGAAACGACCGCUAAUACCCCAUAUGCCUACUGGUGAAAUGAAUUUCGCCUGAGGAUGAGCUCGCGUCUGAUUAGCUAGUUGGUGAGGUAAUGGCUCACCAAGGCUUCGAUCAGUAGCUGGUCUGAGAGGAUGAUCAGCCACACUGGGACUGAGACACGGCCCAGACUCCUACGGGAGGCAGCAGUGGGGAAUUUUCCGCAAUGGGCGAAAGCCUGACGGAGCAACGCCGCGUGAGGGACGAAGGCCUCUGGGCUGUAAACCUCUUUUCUCAAGGAAGAAGAUAUGACGGUACUUGAGGAAUAAGCCACGGCUAAUUCCGUGCCAGCAGCCGCGGUAAUACGGGAGUGGCAAGCGUUAUCCGGAAUUAUUGGGCGUAAAGCGUCCGCAGGCGGCUUUUCAAGUCUGCUGUUAAAGCGUGGAGCUUAACUCCAUCAUGGCAGUGGAAACUGAAAGGCUUGAGUAUGGUAGGGGCAGAGGGAAUUCCCGGUGUAGCGGUGAAAUGCGUAGAUAUCGGGAAGAACACCAGUGGCGAAGGCGCUCUGCUGGGCCAUUACUGACGCUCAUGGACGAAAGCCAGGGGAGCGAAAGGGAUUAGAUACCCCUGUAGUCCUGGCCGUAAACGAUGAACACUAGGUGUCGGGGGAAUCGACCCCUUCGGUGUCGUAGCUAACGCGUUAAGUGUUCCGCCUGGGGAGUACGCACGCAAGUGUGAAACUCAAAGGAAUUGACGGGGGCCCGCACAAGCGGUGGAGUAUGUGGUUUAAUUCGAUGCAACGCGAAGAACCUUACCAGGGUUUGACAUCCUGCGAACCUCUUAGAAAUUUGAGGGUGCCUUCGGGAAUGCAGUGACAGGUGGUG